Molecule: ribosomal RNA, 305 nt
Filed under: uncultured bacterium
Lineage: Bacteria
Description: bacterial SSU rRNA
Rfam family: Bacterial small subunit ribosomal RNA
Source: RNAcentral
GGUGUCCUACGGGGCGCAGCAGUGGGGAAUAUUGCACAAUGGGGGAAACCCUGAUGCAGCGACGCCGCGUGAGUGAAGAAGUAUUUCGGUAUGUAAAGCUCUAUCAGCAGGGAAGAAAAAAGACGGUACCUGACUAAGAAGCCCCGGCUAACUACGUGCCAGCAGCCGCGGUAAUACGUAGGGGGCAAGCGUUAUCCGGAUUUAUUGGGUUUAAAGGGUGCGCAGGCGGAGGUGCAAGUCAGCGGUCAAAUUGCGGGGCUCAACCCCGUACUGCCGUUGAAACUGCAUCCCUUGAGUGCGCGAGA